UUGACCUCGGAUCAGGUAGGGAUACCCGCUGAACUUAAGCAUAUCUAAGGG
This 51-nucleotide ribosomal RNA is filed under the name Botryosphaeria dothidea. Its description in RNAcentral is "partial 28S ribosomal RNA". Lineage: Eukaryota; Fungi; Ascomycota; Dothideomycetes; Botryosphaeriales; Botryosphaeriaceae. The record is from RNAcentral.